GCAGAUCGUUAUCGAUAAUCUUCCAAAAUAUUGCACUUAUUGUAAUCAUCAAGGUCAUGAUGUAAAAUCUUGUCGUUGGAAUACGGAAGAUCUUAAUGAAAAAGCAGUUCAUGUAACUGAAUCUGAAGGUCGGGGCAGAUUGGAUAAUUCUGGACGUGAUGCCAGGGAAUUUCUGAAUGAGCUUAGUGCAGGUCGACGAGC
This 201-nucleotide long non-coding RNA is filed under the name Nicotiana benthamiana. RNAcentral's name for it is "long non-coding RNA (NBEN_LNC040875)". Lineage: Eukaryota; Viridiplantae; Streptophyta; Magnoliopsida; Solanales; Solanaceae. The record is from RNAcentral.